This 465-nucleotide ribosomal RNA is filed under the name uncultured bacterium. RNAcentral's name for it is "partial 16S ribosomal RNA". It matches the Rfam family "Bacterial small subunit ribosomal RNA", at positions 28 to 507 of the family's 1533-position model. The record is from RNAcentral.
GACGAACGCUGGCGGCGUGCUUAACACAUGCAAGUCGAACGGAAAGGCCCUGCUUGCAGGGUACUCGAGUGGCGAACGGGUGAGUAACACGUGGGUGAUCUGCCCUGCACUUCGGGAUAAGCCUGGGAAACUGGGUCUAAUACCGGAUAGGAGCCAUUUUUAGUGUGAUGGUUGGAAAGUUUUUUCGGUGUAGGAUGAGCUCGCGGCCUAUCAGCUUGUUGGUGGGGUAAUGGCCUACCAAGGCGGCGACGGGUAGCCGGCCUGAGAGGGUGGACGGCCACAUUGGGACUGAGAGACGGCCCAGACGCCUACGGGAGGAAGCAGUGGGGAAUAUUGCACAAUGGGCGCAAGCCGGAUGCAGCGACGCCGCGUGGGGGAUGACGGCCUUCGGGUUGUAAACGCCUUUCGCUAGGGACGAAGCUUUUUGUGACGGUACCUAGAGAAGAAGCACCGGCUAACUACGUG